This 399-nucleotide unclassified non-coding RNA is filed under the name Hevea brasiliensis (rubber tree). The record is from RNAcentral. Lineage: Eukaryota; Viridiplantae; Streptophyta; Magnoliopsida; Malpighiales; Euphorbiaceae.
GUUAUAGGGUUUAGUGCCAGCCCUACUUAUCACCAAAUAACAAACAUCCAUAACAAACCCACCGAGGCUUGUAAGCUUUUUCAGAGGCAAACACAAUCCUACACAAAUGCUAAUACAGCAUGGAUAUUAACAACAUAACAACCUCCAAUAAGCAUAAUUCCAAAAAUAAAUCAACAGGUGGCAGGGGCAGGAAAAAUUACUUGACUGAAAUGAAGACCAAUGAGAUGGCCAAGGCAAAUCAGUGAAAAUUUAGUUCAAUGAGAACUCAAUAUAUUCGAUCAGUCAAUAACAAAUGGGCAAAAAAUCCAGACAGAGAUUAAUAAGGAGGCAAAAUAAUGUUCAUCCAGCAUUCUAAAUAAACACUACUCAAAACGCAAAAGCACAUAACAAGUUUAAACU